Camellia sinensis is the source of this 236-nucleotide non-coding RNA. NCBI's taxonomy places the organism in Eukaryota, Viridiplantae, Streptophyta, Magnoliopsida, Ericales, Theaceae. The record is from RefSeq and is a predicted model, not a curated record.
AUGGUUGAUGAAGGUGAUAGCGAUGCAUGAUGGGUUUCUUGAUGCCAAAAGCAACCGGAGGCUAGGAUUUGGAUAUUAAUGAAUCACAUAACAAGUCCAACCACGUUGAAUUUCAGAAAAUGGGGAUCAAUAGGGACAUGUCCACUCGUGGAAUGCUCCACUCCAUUGGACCAGAUCUCACACACACAUGGGGCAAAUCUGAAACACAUCAAAAUGGCUCUAUAAGAAGCAAGCAA